This 240-nucleotide unclassified non-coding RNA is filed under the name soil metagenome. Its description in RNAcentral is "partial contains 5.8S ribosomal RNA, internal transcribed spacer 2, and large subunit ribosomal RNA". The record is from RNAcentral.
AACGCACGAGACCUGCGGACCUGCGGAGGGAUCAUUAUUGAAUCUUAGUUUGUAGGAGUUGUUGCUGGCUCUUUGGAGCAUGUGCACACUCUUACGUCCUAAUAUCCAUCCACCUGUGCACUUUUUGUAGACUUUGGGAUAUCUCUCAGGCUGUUGUUUAGCUUUGGCUUUGAAGAUUGUUAUUUCACAUAAUCUCUCUUCAAAUUUCCCCAAGUCUAUGUUAACAUUAUACUCUAUUGA